UGAUGAUGGUGAGGGCAAUUUUUUAUCAUAAUUUUAAAUCUCUCCCAAGCUUGAUGAUGGUGAGGGCAAUUCUUUCUAUCUGAAACUCAAAAUCUUGCUUCUCAAAUG
This is a non-coding RNA of Capsicum annuum, 108 nucleotides long. The record is from Rfam. Lineage: Eukaryota; Viridiplantae; Streptophyta; Magnoliopsida; Solanales; Solanaceae.